Molecule: ribosomal RNA, 652 nt
Filed under: uncultured bacterium
Lineage: Bacteria
Description: bacterial SSU rRNA
Rfam family: Bacterial small subunit ribosomal RNA
Source: RNAcentral
CGGGCUAAACCCGCGUACAUGCCACCGGGGCAUCCCGGAGGCAGGAAAGGCUUCGGCCGGACAGGGAUGGGCAUGCGGCGCAUUAGGCAGUAGGCGGGGUAACGGCCCACCUAACCGACGAUGCGUAGGGGUUCUGAGAGGAAGGCCCCCCACACUGGUACUGAGACACGGACCAGACUCCUACGGGAGGCAGCAGUGAGGAAUAUUGGUCAAUGGUCGGGAGACUGAACCAGCCAAGCCGCGUGAGGGAUGAAGGUACAGAGUAUCGUAAACCUCUUUUGUCAGGGAACAAAGGCGGGGACGUGUCCCCGGAUGAGUGUACCUGAAGAAAAAGCAUCGGCUAACUCCGUGCCAGCAGCCGCGGUAAUACGGAGGAUGCGAGCGUUAUCCGGAUUUAUUGGGUUUAAAGGGUGCGCAGGCGGGCUGUUAAGUCAGCGGUCAAAGCCCGGGGCUCAACCCCGGCCCGCCGUUGAAACUGGCAGUCUCGAGUUGGAGAGAAGUAUGCGGAAUGCGCGGUGUAGCGGUGAAAUGCAUAGAUAUCGCGCAGAACUCCGAUUGCGAAGGCAGCAUGCCGGCUCCACACUGACGCUGAGGCACGAAAGCGUGGGUAUCGAACAGGAUUAGAUACCCUGGUAGUCCACGCAGUAAACGA